This 7917-nucleotide long non-coding RNA is filed under the name Ananas comosus (pineapple). RNAcentral's name for it is "long non-coding RNA (ACOM_LNC037916)". Lineage: Eukaryota; Viridiplantae; Streptophyta; Magnoliopsida; Poales; Bromeliaceae. The record is from RNAcentral.
ACCGGAUCAUUCCGUACGUGAAAGUGCAGUGGAGCAAUCACGAGGAGCGGGAGGCGACUUGGGAGCCUGAGAAGGUGAUGAGGGAGUCUUACCGCGACCUGUUCGUUGCCCCGUGUUGAGGUAUGUGUUAAGUUUCGAGGACGAAACUUUUUUGUAGUAGGGGAGGAUGUAGUAUCCUUAAUUUUGUUUUUAUUUGAGUUGGUAGACUAGUAGUGGAUAAGGAUGCCACGUGUAACUCUAACCUCAUGCAUCCUUAUCAAUUGAGUUUUAACUGAGGUGUAUAGUUUUUUUAUUUUCAUUUUUACUUCUUCUCUCUUUCUCCAUUCGGCCGAAGUAAGGAGGAGUUCGGGUUGUGCCGCGGAGCUCGAUUUCGACGCCGACGAUGCGCCGCGAAGCCGUUCGAAGGUACGGUUGGGCUCGUAGUGUUGUGAGGAGGCUUGGCAAGGGUCUAUUUCCGCCAUUCUCGACGUCGCGCCGGAUUGGAUUUAGCUUUCGAGGUGGGUUACAUCGGCUUUACUCCUAAGUUAUUAUUGGUCGACAUGUAUAGAUCUUGAUUUCGGUCAUUAAUUUAGCUCAAAUUCAUGGACUAUAUGUAGAUUGUGAAAUCUGAAUUUUGGAGCAUAUUUUAUAAAUUAAGUAGAUCAUACAUAUUGGACUUGGAAAUUGAAUUAGGAGAAAACCUACGAUUUGGACCUGUCACCAGUUUUAACUACCUGAUUUAGCUCUAGGAGCCGUUAGAAAAUUGUACUGUCGCAGUUAUUCGAGACGAGUACUCCAGGUAGUUUAGAAUGUAUUUACACUCGUGCUCGUUCGCCGAGUGGAUUUUUACAGGGUCGUUCAGGUUGUUUCGGACUGUUGGGUGCCGUCAGAGUUGACGGUGGACCCGUAUCGCCUUUUUGGGCGUCAGAUUGUGCCGAGGGCACUUACCUGUUGGUUGUUAGACCAUUUUGAGUCGAUUACUUGACUUUGGCUAGUUGGAGCCUGUUUGAGCUCGACAGAGAUACGCUGCAUACUCGGUUGGGUAGCGCCCACGAGUGCCACUCCGGAGUCAGGCUUGUGCUUUCGCGUUGGUGUCGCUCAUGCCAGUUGGACUUGCUCUCCACGGACCAGUUGGUGUGGAGGUAGCUGGAUAGUCGCAACGGGGCAGGGACGGGUGUGUUCACAGUCCCAGGGACGGGUAUGUUUAUAGUCCCGAUUGGAUUGGGUCAGAUUGACAUUUUCUACAGUUGGUUAGUGUAGAGCAUGAUAGUGUAGUGAUUGAUAGCGGUAGAGCGUACUUCCUGCUUUUCCUACUAUUCUUGCUCCCUUCUGUAGACUUAGUGGGUGACCGAUGUUGUUUUGGGCGGUACCCACUGAGGACUACUUGUUUUUACAGUAGUUCUCACGCCCAGUUGUUACUCUUGUUUUGCAGAGCCACAGGUUUCGGCUGCUGCGCCUUCUGCGGAUCAGGAUCGAGGCAAGAGCGUCGCGAGUUAGAGCCCUACCUGACGAGCAGAGUUAGAGGCACCCCUACUGCAGGUAGAUGUUUUGUUUCGAGUUUAUGUAUAUAGUUUACCUAACUCGCCAGUGCGAGUAACUCUGUAUUUUGGAUUUGAGCUAUAUAUAUGAAACUCAAUUUGUUUAGCUUUUGUUUUCUCUAGCAGCUCUAUACUACUGUUUGUAGUAUUGUAUGUUUUACAGGUACAGCUGUCGCUUCGUAUACAGGGAAAAUUCCUUUGUAUACGGCGGAUUUGUCGGCGUGCCCGGGGAACGUGUAAUCCGGGGCGUGACAUCGUAAGUUUCUUCUCCUCCGCUUAUUGAUAUGCUUAAACUCAGCGGGUGGCCCCGCCUGACCUGGGGUCGCGGUCCGAUGCGGCCCGCCCUUUUCUUUUACAUCGUAAAGGGGGAGGCGCGCGCUCGGGGUGGGGGUCCUCUCGGGGGCCGUUCGCCGCUGGGGCCGGAGGCACGGCGCUCGGCUCGCGGUCGCNCUCCCUUCUGUAGACUUAGUGGGUGACCGAUGUUGUUUUGGGCGGUACCCACUGAGGACUACUUGUUUUUACAGUAGUUCUCACGCUCAGUUGUUACCUAUGUUUUUGCAGAGCCACAGGUGCCGGCUGCUGCACCGUCUGCGGACCUGGAUCGAGGCAAGGGCGUCGCGAGUUAGAGCCCCUACCCGACGUGCUGAGCUAGAGGUGCCCUACUGCAGGUAGAUGUUUUGUUUAGAGUUUAUGUACAUAGUUGACUUAACUCGCCAGUGCGAGUAGCUCUGUAUUUUGGAUCUGAACUAUGUAUAUAAAACUCUGUUUUAUUUAGCUUCAGUUUUCUCUAGCAGCUCUCUACUACUGUUCGUAGUAGUGUUUGAUUUACAGGUACAGCUAUCGCUUCGUAUACAGGAAAAAUUUCUUUGUAUACGGCGGAUCUGUCGGCGUGCCCGGGGAACCUGUAAUCCGGGGCGUGACAGAUUAAGUUGGUAUCAGAGCUUUGCUAUAGGUCGUUGGGACCUAGGAAACCUAAGUUGGCAAACCUUAGGAAGCAAGACGCGAGAGGCGUGAUUUAAUUGCGGAAGUCGAUGAUUAUUUGUUCUAACUCCUCCUAAAGCGGAGUGAGUGACUGAAGGAGUUCCUGUUUUGGCCUGAGAAAUUAUGUUGGCUGCAGACGACAUAAUUUUGGAGGAAAACAGGGACCGCCUUCCAGACUUUCGUUGAUUGGGUCGAGAGUGUUGUAUUGUAUCUGACCCCGACUUGUUCUUUGCAGCUAUGUAUCGUCGCCGAGGUCGACCUUCGUUACGGGAGCGCGCCGAGUUGGCGCGAGAUCGUGCUGGACCUUCUGAGAGACCCGAGCAGAUGGAGCAGAGUGCUCGGCAGGAGCAGAGUGACAGACCGGAGGCGAGUGCACCCCCUGUUGUAGGGCCGAGUGCGCGACCUGAGGCUGGCGCACCCCCUGACCUAAGUGCACAGUUGGCUGCCCUGACUGAGGUGACGAGGCAGCAGGGGGAGUUGUUGCAGAGGUUGUGUGAGAGAAUAGCUCAGUCACCGAGUUCAGCACCGAGUAUACCAGAGCAUACUGUUCCCCCACCGACUACUCCAGUGUCAGCUCCAGCCGCAGCUAUGCCCCCACCAGUGGAGCUUCCUACAGCGCCAGUUGCGCCUGCUAGGGGACCCGUACAGUUGACAGAGGCCGAGCAGGAGCGAUGGACGGAGAGGUUGGCUCGUUUCCGCCGAUUUGAUCCACCUACUUUCGAUGGCAGCGGCACUGAGGCCUGGGUUGUUGAGGGAUGGGUCAGUGCUAUGGAGAGGUUAUUCGAGGAUCUGUACGUUCCAGAGGGGGAGCAGGUACCUUUGGGAGUACAUUGUUUGUCAGGUGAUGCACGUGAUUGGUGGCGGAGAGCGAGGCGAGACCAGGGACUAGUGGCGGCACAGCUGAGGUGGGAUGAGUUCUGUGGAAUACUGUAUGGGAUGUAUUUUCCCAACAGCAUGAAACAGAAGAUUGAGGAGGAUUUAAAGAGGAUCCAGCAGGGCGAGCGGACAGUUCAGGAGUAUGUUCGGGAGUUUACUAGACUCCUGAACUGUGUUCCGUUCGUGGCCAGGGACGAGGCUCACAGGGUCUACUUAUUCGAGCAGGGUUUGAGGCCAGAUCUCUUCAGGUUUGUCAGGGCGCAGAGGUCGAGGACCCUGGAUGCGUCUAUUGAGCAGGCGUUGUGGGAGGAGCGAGGAGAGGUGUCCCUCAGAGAGCGGGUGCAGGCGCCGGGGCCGAGUCAGGAUAGGAAGCGCCCCUUUCCAGAUGACGGAGGGCAGUCGAGCAGCAGACGUCCGCCGAGACCUCCACGAUCACGUUCUCAGGGUCGUGGGUCUUCGGGGCGUCAGCGUUCCAGGGGAUCCCGUCAGCAGGGGCAGACUCAGAGGACGCCACAGUGUGUGAUCUGUGGGGGACCACACUGGCCUCGGCAGUGCGAGCAUAGAGAGGGCAGGUGCUACGGAUGUGGUCAGCCGGGACAUAUGAGGGCAGCGUGUCCCCGAGCAGCAUCUCCAGCACCGUCAUCAGCUUCGGCACCACCAGCACCACAGCAGUCUUACGGAGCAGCACCGAGCUACCGUCAGGAGGAUAGAUCGUCUGUGCCGCGGUCGAGUGAGCGGCGACAGCAGGCUCCGAGUGGCAGGGUCUACGCAGCUCAGGUGGAGGACUCAUCAGCAGCCGACCGAGUGGUGGCAGGUAUCACUUUGAUCUCUGGCAUUAGAGUUCGCACUCUUUUUGAUACCGGUGCAUCGCAUUCCUUUGUUAGCCGAGCAUUUGCAUUGUUGCAUGGUCUAGAGUUAGGAGCGUUGUCUCAGGCACGAGAGGUGCAGAUCCCCGACCAUGUCUUGCAGGUUACAGAGUGUUGUUGGUCCUGUCCGGUGCAGUUAGACUCUUGGAUCAUGCCCGCAGACCUGUUGGUGUUAGGGCAGCUGCAGGACUUCGACGUCGUGCUCGGUAUGGAUUGGCUUGCGCGAUACUAUGCUACGAUCGACUGUGGAGCGAGGACGGUGACGUUCCGCGAGCCAGGUCAGGAAGAGUUCACAUUCAGAGGCUGCAGGAGUACGCUAUUUGCCACCUGGAUAUCUUCGGCGAGGGCUCGACAGAUGCUGAGUAGCGGGUGUAUCGCUUUCCUAGCGACUGUUGUGGAGGUACCUACGGCGGCGCCGGGACUUGAGGACAUCCCAGUAGUCCGCGAGUUUCCGGAUGUAUUUUCCCCUGAAUUGACGACGUUGCCGCCGGAGAGGGAGAUUGAGUUUGUGAUUGAUGUGGUUCCUGGAACUGCACCAAUCUCAAAGGUACCUUAUCGGAUGGCGCCGGCAGAGCUGAGAGAGCUAAAGGCACAGCUUCAGGAUUUGAUGGAUAAAGGGUUUGUGAGACCCAGUGUGUCGCCCUGGGGAGCGCCAGUGCUAUUUGUAAAGAAGAAGGAUGGUUCACUCAGGUUAUGUGUGGAUUACCGGGAGCUGAAUAAAGUGACCAUCAAGAAUAAGUAUCCACUGCCGCGUAUUGAUGAUUUAUUUGAUCAGUUGCAGGGAUCCUUCGUCUUCUCAAAGAUUGAUCUCCAGUCAGGUUACCACCAGCUGAGGGUGAGGGCCGAGGAUGUUCCCAAGACGGCUUUUCGGACUCGGUACGGGCAUUAUGAGUUCACGGUGAUGCCUUUUGGAUUGACGAAUGCCCCUGCCGCAUUCAUGGAUUUGAUGAACAGAGUGUUCAAGCCGUUCUUGGAUAGGUUUGUGGUAGUCUUCAUCGACGAUAUUCUGAUUUACUCCCGGAGUGAUGCUGAGCAUGAGGAGCACUUGAGGAUUGUGCUACAACUUCUGCGUGAGAAGAAGUUGUAUGCCAAGUUAAAGAAGUGCGAGUUCUGGCUACUGGAGGUUGCUUUCUUGGGUCACGUGAUUUCAGCUGAGGGCGUUGCAGUGGACCCGAAGAAGAUUGAGGCGAUUCGGGAUUGGCCGAGACCGACGACGGUGACUGAGGUACGCAGUUUCCUGGGGCUGGCAGGAUACUACCGUCGGUUUGUGGAAGGCUUUGCAAAGCUUUCCACACCCCUCACGCGUCUGACGCGGAAGGGGAUUCGCUUUGUUUGGAGUGACGAUUGUCAGAGGAGCUUUGACGAGUUGAGACAGAGACUGACAUCAGCUCCUAUCCUUGCCCUUCCAGAGAUGGGUGAAGGUUUUGUGAUAUACAGUGAUGCAUCGCACAGUGGGCUUGGUUGUGUGCUGAUGCAGCAUGGUAGGGUGAUUGCUUAUGCUUCACGGCAAUUAAAGGAUUAUGAGAAGAAUUACCCUACGCAUGACUUGGAGCUUGCCGCAGUGAUUUUUGCAUUGAAGCUCUGGCGGCAUUACUUGUAUGGCGAGCACUGCGAGAUUUUUACUGAUCAUAAAAGUCUCAAGUAUCUGUUCACCCAAAAGGAGUUGAAUUUGAGACAGCGCCGGUUGUUGGAGUUGCUGAAGGAUUAUGACAUCAGUAUCCAGUAUCAUCCCGGCAAGGCGAAUGUGGUGGCAGAUGCGUUGAGCAGGAAGGCAGUGCAGAGCUUGAGUAUGUUGAUCACUCGGCAGGGACCGUUACUCGAGGAGCUGAGACGGCUGGGACUCGAGGUAGUGUCCCCUGGAUUUACUGCGAGAUUGAUGUCUAUGAUCUUGCAGCCCACUCUGUUGGAUAGAAUCCGAGAGAAACAGAGUGGAGAUCCGUAUUUGUUGAGGAUUAGAGAGCAGUUAGAUAGGGGGCAGGCUGAGGGAUUUGCUUUGGACAGUUCGGGAGUACUACGGUACAGGGACCGACUGUGUGUGCCUGUGGAUCCGGAGAUUCGAGCGGAUAUUCUGAGAGAGGCUCAUUGUUCCCCUUAUACGGUUCACCCUGGGGGAACCAAGAUGUAUAAGGAUCUUAAGGCACAGUUUUGGUGGCCUGGAAUGAAGAGGGACAUUGGCAGAUUUGUGGCUCAGUGUUUGACUUGCCAACAGGUGAAGGCCGAGCAUCGGGUGCCUGCUGGCAAGCUUCAGAGUCUGCCAGUUCCCGAGUGGAAGUGGGAGCACACCACGAUGGACUUCGUCGUUGGAUUGCCUAGAGCGCAGGGUGGCUACGACGCGAUUUGGGUGAUAGUGGACAGACUGACCAAGUCUGCUCACUUCCUACCGGUUCAGACUACCUGGUCCAGGGAGAGACUCGCGCAGCUAUACUUGGAUGAGAUCGUUAGGCUGCACGGCGUGCCAGUGUCGAUUGUAUCAGAUAGAGACCCGAGGUUCGUAUCCCAGUUUUGGAGGAGCCUUCAGACAGCCUUGGGUACACAGCUACAUUUCAGCACAGCAUUCCACCCACAGACAGAUGGUCAGUCAGAGCGGACCAUUAAGACUCUAGAGGACAUGCUGAGGGCAUGUGUCCUGGACUUUGGAGGAGGGUGGUAUCGACAUUUGAGACUGGUUGAGUUUGCGUACAACAACAGCUAUCAAGCGAGCAUUCAGAUGGCUCCGUUUGAGGCGUUGUAUGGACGCAAAUGUCGAUCCCCCUAUUUUGGAGUGAUGUGGGUGAACGGAGGACAUUUGGACCAGAGAUUCUACUUGAGGCUGAAGAAAAGGUGAGAGUCGUUCGACGACACCUUUUGACAGCACAGAGCCGACAGAGGAGCUACGCCGAUACCAGGAGACGAGACUUGGAGUUUCAGGUUGGAGAUCAUGUUUUUCUCAAAGUCUCGCCGUCUAGAGGGAUACGUCGUUUUGGAGUACGUGGAAAGCUUAGUCCACGGUUUGUUGGCCCUUUCGAGGUAUUGGAGCGUAUCGGACCGGUGGCUUACAGGAUAGCUCUAUCCCCGCGACUAGCUGGCAUUCAUGAUGUAUUCCACGUCUCGGCGCUAAGAAAGUAUGUUUUCGAUCCGUCUCAUGUGAUUGACUUCACCCCACUAGAGAUUGGUGAGGACUUGAGGUACGAGGAGCGACCGGUGCGAAUUCUUGCUCGUGAGACGAAAGAAUUGCGCAACCGGAUCAUUCCGUACGUGAAAGUGCAGUGGAGCAAUCACGAGGAGCGGGAGGCUACUUGGGAGCCUGAGACGGUGAUGAGGGAGUCUUACCCCGACCUGUUCGUUGCCCCGUGUUGAGGUAUGUGUUAAGUUUCGAGGACGAAACUUUUUUGUAGUAGGGGAGGAUGUAGUAUCCUUAAUUUUGUUUUUAUUUGAGUUGGUAGACUAGUAGUGGAUAAGGAUGCCACGUGUAACUCUAACCUCAUGCAUCCUUAUCAAUUGAGUUUUAACUGAGGUGUAUAGUUUUUUUUAUUUUCAUUUUUACUUCUUCUCUCUUUCUCCAUUCGGCCGAAGUAAGGAGGAGCUCGGGUUGUGCCGCGGAGCUCGAUUUCGACGCCGACGAUGCGCCGCGAAGCCGUUCGAAGGUACGGUUGGGCUCGUAGUGUUGUGAGGAGGCUUGGCAAGGGUCUAUUUCCGCC